Molecule: ribosomal RNA, 380 nt
Filed under: uncultured eukaryote
Lineage: Eukaryota
Description: partial 18S ribosomal RNA
Rfam family: Eukaryotic small subunit ribosomal RNA
Source: RNAcentral
CAAUAGCGUAUAUUAAAGUUGUUGCGGUUAAAAAGCUCGUAGUUGGAUUUCUGCUGAGAACGACCGGUCCGCCCUUUGGGUGUGUAUCUGGCUCUUUCUUGGCAUCUUCUUGGUGAACGUUGCUGCACUUGACUGUGUGGAGCGCUACCCAGGACUUUUACUUUGAGGAAAUUAGAGUGUUUCAAGCAGGCAUACGCCUUGAAUACAUUAGCAUGGAAUAAUAAGAUAGGACCUCGGUUCUAUUUUGUUGGUUUCUAGAGCUGAGGUAAUGAUUAAUAGGGAUAGUUGGGGGCAUCUGUAUCAACGCGUCAGAGGUGGAAUUCUUGGAUUGCGUUGCGACAAACUACUGCGAAAGCAUUUGCCAAGGAUGUUUUCAUUGA